RNAcentral lists this long non-coding RNA (6637 nucleotides) under Gossypium barbadense (sea-island cotton). RNAcentral describes it as "long non-coding RNA (GBAR_LNC015740)". The record is from RNAcentral. Lineage: Eukaryota; Viridiplantae; Streptophyta; Magnoliopsida; Malvales; Malvaceae.
CUUUAGCAAAAUGAUUUUGUUUUUCAUUCCUUUUCCUCUUUUUGUUUUCUGUUUCAAUCUUCUAAGCUACUUGAAACUUAAGUGCUCCUGGUCAGUUAUUCAAUUUAAAUGUGAAUUCAAUGGUAUUAUAUUAUGAUUAUUUCAUGCUAUUUUACUGUUCCCUUCUCAACAAGCUUCGUUUUUACACUUCCUUUAAUGUUGAUGAAGAUUAGAUUGAUUAUGAAACUUCUUUGUUUAUCUAUGUGUUUAUGAUGAACUUUGCAGAUUUCUUGAUGGUCACUUUAGAUUCCAUUUUAUGUUCUCUUGUUUAUGUUUAUAUUUUGGCUUUAUGCUAAUACUUUAAACUUGGCUUGAGCCAAUGAUGACUUAUGCAUUAUAAACAUGAUGGUGGAUUUGUGGUGGCAUGUCCCUGGUCCUCGAUUAACUUUGCUCUUAUGUUUCAAUGCAACCAGAUCAUCCACAGUCCGAUAGUCUUUUAGGUACACUACUUUGAAUUUACUGACCACAACUUUAUACUUAACUUAGGGUGUGUUUACCAUUGCUUUUGGCUGUUCAAAAUUACCUUUUUAUGACAAAAGUGAUGCUAAAUAAAGGGCUUUUGUGAUCCAAAGCACUUAUAGAAAGUGCUUUUGGAACCAACUAAAGAAGCUGGCUGCUAGGUGCUUUUCAAAAGCAUUUUUCAACUGCAAGAGGAAUGCUAAACUAGCUCUUAAUCACGUGAAUUUACUUUAAGUCUUGGAAGUUUGCAUGCUUCUACUACUGAGUGUUCGUUUGCUUAACACCAUGAGACCUCUCAAGUUAGUUAACAAAGGGUUGGGUGAAGGUCCUAAUUUUAACCAUAUGUAUGCAGUGUGGCCAAAAGGGAAUCUUAUAUUUGUAGUUUUAGGGAAUUGUUUGAUAUUGUACAUUAAUGUUAAUACAAUGAUCUUUAUGUUUCCAUUAUCUUUAUGUUUCCAUUACAGGAGACCUAGCACGGAGGAGGAAAUUCUUACUAUUCAGAUUAAGCCAGGGUGGAAAAAAGGUACAAAAAUAACAUUUCCAGAAAAGGGAAACGAGCAACGAGGGGUUAUUCCUUCUGAUCUUGUCUUCAUCAUCGAUGAGAAACCUCACAGUGUGUUCAAGAGGGAUGGCAAUGAUCUUAUUUUAACUCAGAAGAUAUCUCUAGUGGAAGCUCUAACUGGUUAUACAGCACAGCUGACAGCGCUGGAUGGACGGACCCUCACAGUCCCUAUUAACAACAUCAUCAAUCCAACCUAUGAAGAAGUUGUUAAAGGUGAAGGAAUGCCCAUUCCCAAGGAGCCUUCAAAGAAAGGAAAUUUAAGAAUUAAAUUCAACAUCAAGUUCCCUACCAAGCUUACAACUGAACAGAAAACUGGUCUGAAGCGGUUAAUAUCAUCUCCCUAAGAUUCAGUUGUUGCCCUUGAUCUCUAUUGUCAGCCUACUCAUGUAAGUUUGCAUUUGUGUUGCUGAACCGUGAUUGCAUGAGAGUUAUCUAGGACUAGGAGUUUGUAAAUUAUUUAUCCAUUUUCUGCGCUUGUUGAAAUACUUCUUAACUUUGAGGUAACUGGUCAAAGCUUAUAGUUAAGCUUAAGCCCCUUUCUUAGUUCGGCUUGAAUCUCCAUUAUUUCACUGUACGCAAGUCUGAAGUCUUUCAGUCCUGGUCUUGUUGCAUUCUUAAUGCAUGCGAUGCAGGUAAAUUUGGAGAAGUGUGUGGGGGUGUCCCCUUGGUUUCAGUGUAUAGAAUGAGAACAAUUGAUGCAUAUGUCAUGGUGCUGCAGUUUGCAAAAUGCAGGACAAUCAUUUGGAUUACAAAAAUCAAUCAGAUUGCUGUAAAUUCAUUCAUUAAGUUCAUGUCUCCAAAACUUUUAGGAAUUUAUGGAUCCUAUAACUACAAAAAAAGGUUUUAAAUUUAUUAUUCAGUGGUUGAAAUCUUGUAAGUAGAGGUCAUGAAAAGAAGAAUUAUUAUCUCAUUUUGUAUUUUAUAUUUUCCUCGUUUCUUUGUUUUUACGAAAGUUUUAUUUAGUUUUAUAAUAUGUUAUUAACGCGAGUUCACUUAAAUAUUAUGCUUAAUAUAUAUAUAUAUUGCAGCAAAUACCCUAUUGAACUAGUGAAACCCAAACCAUCCGAUUCUUAGGUGUGGAAAAGCAUUCUCACCGAUAGGGGUAUCUGUAACAAGGGUAAAGAUAUUUAACUAUGGAGCGGUCAAAAUAGAUGGAUCUUAGCGAACCUGCUCAAAUCGCUGAUUGACACAAUUGCCCAUCAAGAAUUUGACCCACAGGCAAAUUGUUUUAUUAAUCCCUACAAAUUCAUUGUUGAUCAAUCAAAAGCCUUACAACUACUCUGCCUUGAUAGAGCUAUUGAUCUAAUCACUAGAGUUUUUUCUAUCCAAGGUGGGCAAGAAAAAAUUGUUUGGAAAAAUGACUUUAAAGGCUUCUUCUCGGUCAAAAGCGCUUAGUCUCAAUUUUACAAAUAAUAGCACGGUGUUACUCUUAAAAGUAAACAACAAUCUGCAUUAAAAAAUCUCUGACGAUUAAAGAUACCUUUUAAUAUCAUCAUCUUCCUGUGGAAAAUUUGUAAAAACAACCUUCCUACUUGACAGGAGACUAUCAACUAAUGAUGCCAUUUACCCUCUCUGCAAAGUUGACAGAGAAACUACGGAUUCUCAAUUGGUUACGUGCAAAUAAUAUAUCAGAGGAAUCCCCAAGGAAAAUUUACACUACCAUGGCAUGCACCCUUUGGACCAUCUAGAAAGCAAGGAAUUAACCUUAUUUUCAAGAACUUCCACCUAUCACUUUUGGCGGCAAACAAAAUUAUCUCUGAGGUGACUCAGGCAAUCUUUAGCUCAUUCUCAAGCAGUACUCCACCUACUCAAAAUCAAAGAAUGUUACCUCUCCCUCAAGCGGUCCUCUCCACUACCACAACAAUGGCUUCUUUCAUUCUACGUCAUUCAGAACAAACAAAACAAACUAAUUGGAGGAGCUGCAUGGCCUAGGACUUAACAGUUUUCAACUGUCAAAAGUCUGUUGGUAAUGUAAAAAUUUGACACUACAAUAUGACCAUUGGAAUCUGACGUUAUAAUAUGGUCAUUGCAAUAUGGUCGUUGAAUUUUUUUAAACCAUUUUACCCUUUUGAAAAUCCCAUAAAUAGGAGUUUGUUUCUCCUCAUUUUACAUAGCAACAAAAUUAGAGUUUCUCUCAUUCUUUUCGAUUCUCUCAUCUUUUUUUUCUCUAAAAUUUUGUCAUCUUAAUAGAAUUACAUUAGAGGAAAUUUUGUCUAGGAGGUUUAAUUUUAAGCGGAAAUGUCUGUGACCCCUCCAACCUUUCCUGUGAAUUGAACCUAGUGUAAUUUUUCUGGCAAAGUUUUUCCGGCAUUUCUCGAUUCCUCAGAGAAGAGCAAUACCAAUUUUGUUCCACCUUCCUUAUUCAGGUGUACGAAUAUUGAAGUUCUGUAUUAACCUUCGGGGGCAAUUGUUGGGAAAUGUGCCCAUAUUGUAGUAAACAUAUAAUUAUUUUCUAUGUAUUUGAACAAUAAAUAAAUAAAUAAGGUUAAUUUCACAUUUCACUCUUAUGUAUUUUUUUGUUUCUGUUUUUCAUGUUUUGCAUGCAUAGCGAAAUUGUGAUAAGCAAAUAUUAGCUCAUUAAUUGUCUUUGUCAAAUUGAUGAUAAGUGACAUUGUAAGAACGUUUACAUUGCGAGAAAGAUAACUUACUUUAGUAGAUAAUCUAAACGAGUUCGUAAUCCCAUAAAAGAAUCAAAGUGAACAUUUGAUUCAAAUACUUAGAAGAAUUAUUAUGUUGUUUACAAUUCCAAUUGGAGAGAUGACUAAUCUUGACUAUCGGAGCAGUUGACUCCACGGGUAAAGACAGAUGUAUUCAUUGGAAGAAUGAUACAUUAGACUAGACCCAAGAUGAAUUAAUUUUGAAUCUAUUUGUAAAUUAAUUCACUUGUGACGUUCAUGGUGUGAUUUACCUAAAUACUGAGUUAGUCACUGACCAUGCAUAUGUAACUCAUGUGUUUUAAUAUAAGUGAAGGCUUAUGCUCUAAAAAUGAUCGAACCCAUAGCCGCUAUGUUGGGUAUAUGACUUGUAUAUGACAUGACUUUACUAGCAACAAUGGAAUUCUUAGCUUGACUAAAGAGUUAACGGUAUUCUCUAAUUGACAUUGUGUGGAUUGAUAAAUAUGGAACGUGACCAUGGGUUUCUUGUUCUCGAACGAGUAAUUUAUCACUGUCACUUGUUGACAAUGAUCAUGUUAAUCAUUUAGAAGACACAAUGGUGACAAUGAGAUAAAAUAUGAUUGUAUUGAGUGAACAGAUGUAACUCAAAGGAAUCAAGUAUAUCAUGUUGGAUAAAUUGCUUUCGUAAAGAGUAUAUAAUAAGGAGUUUUCAAUCAUGGUACUUCUUGUGGACUAACUCCAUGAUUAAGUAAAUUGUGAAUUAUCGGAAUGAUGCUUCUAGACAUAAUUACAAUUACUAGAGUCUAAUUGUAUAUGCCUGAUUGGUCCCUCCGCUAGCUUAACAAAAGCUCGAUUGGACUAUAUUUGAAUCAAAAGAAAAUUCUACGACUUUGGAAAUAAUUUAAUUGAGUCGAUUUAUUCGAUGAGGAAUUAAAUUAGAUAGUCGUGAGAAUUGUUCAACUAGAGAAUUUGAUUAAAAAAUUUUCUUAAAAAAUUUAUUUUGAAAAAAUUCAAUGAUUUUUGGGAAGAUUAAUCUCGAUCAAGAAAAAUUAAAUUAAUAAAAUUAAUAAAAAUAAAUAUGAUAUUUUUAGAACUUAAUUUUUAAGUCAAACAAUUGACACAAUGGGUAAUUAAACUGGAAAAUUAGACUUGAGAUCGAAAAUUGGACCCGUGAAUCCAAAAUUAUGACCAAGACCUAAAAACUGGUUGAAUCAGGCCUGGUAUGUUAAACCGGGCCAACGGUCCAAUCGGUGGCUGGAACAAACCGGUUGGGCCAUCACUAGGCCUAGACCGAAUCAGCAAUAGCCGAACCGAUUCGAGGUCCCGUAAGAGUGUCGCACUUGUGAUGGCACCACAUAACAUGACGGCACCGGCUGCAGCGACGACAACAUUCUGGUGGCCAAUGAAUGGUCCUUCAGCGGUUGAGCAGUGGAGGAAUCACACUCCUAUUGGGACUCUACCAGAUAAUUUAAUUUCAGAUUAACUAUUCCAAAAAUAAUACUAUUUUAAUUAUUAUAAUAUUAAAUUUAAUUUAAUACUUAUUUUAAUUGUAUUUUAUUAAUUUAAUAUUAAAGUGAUUAUCUUAGUAUUAAAUUAAAUUAAUAUUUAUUUAAAAGAUAAAUAUUCUAUUAAUUUAAUAUAUUUAAUAUUAAAUUUAAUCUAAUAUUUACCUUGAUAAAUAUUAUAUUAAUUUAAUUUUAAAGUGAUUAAGUUUAAUUAUAGUUGAACUCUCUAAACUCUCUAAACUCUCUCUAUAUAAAGAGAGCCUUAGGCCAUUAUUGUUCACACACUUGAAUUCAAGAGAAAGUUUUAGGGAGAAAAUUCUUUAAAGAAAUUAUUUUAGAAAAUUUCUAGAGAUACUUUUCUUAUUUAUAACUUGGCUUAGAAGUUUAGAGAAAUUACGAAAUUACCCUACUGGUAAUUUUGUGGAAAAUUUUCUAAUUCGAAGCGAGCCCACACUCAGUAGACAUGAGCUUGAGGAUAGCAGAAAAGACUACUUGGUCGAAGCAUUCAUCUCAAAUGAAUCGAAAAGGUACAAAUUUGAUUAAGUGUUUAUUACUUUAGAUAUCAUAACCAAGUUCUUAUUUUUUGGAAAAAAAUUUAAAACUUUGGUUUAUCCCUUAAACUUAUUUUCCGUUGAGUUUUCCAAACCUGAUUUUCCAACAGCAACGUCCACUAUACGAUUACACCAAUCAAGAUGAAUUUGCUUCUAAAUCAAUGGUUCUUCCACGAUAAAGUGAUUCUUUCUUUUAUUUAUGCUUGGUUUAUUUUCCAGUCAGCGUUAAUAAUUUUGUUUUGCAGUCGUAUUUUUCCAACAAUUUAGAAACAUAUUUACUACUGUUUAAACAUGAAAAUUGUUUCUAUUUCCUGCUGCUGAAACUAAUGAAGACUCCUACAAACAACAAGCUAGAGUGUACACUUGAGGAUCGUUGGAGCAAGUGAAGUGUCCUAUUAAGGAAAUCAAUUUGAAGGAACCUAAGUAAUGCAAGAGUGUGCCUAAGUAGCCUUGGAACGGUUGCAAGCUCCAUCUGUGUUGGCCACUGGGCCAUUAUCAAGAUGGACUUGGAAGGCCUAAUGAAAUUGAGCCGAGAUGGGUUGGAGGUCCCUUGAGUUUGAGUUGGUCAGAUGACUAUGAGCGGAUUGUUGGAUCCUUAUGUUUGGGAUAGGGUUUACAAUGCCCUUAUCCAUGAUAAGCUAUUGAUACAUGAGAUUUGUGGAGCUAGUUUAAGCGUCACUGAGUUUUUAACCAAAGUAGACUAGAGGAUUAUCGAGUCUGAGAAUUUGAAUAGGAGAACUAGUGGGGGGAUGUCUUCUUCAGACAACCUAUGAGAUUGUGUGGAGAAAAGAGCAAAGUGCCAAAGUUUGUGUGAAUGAGCAUUAAAGCCCAAAAUUGAGAUUGAAAUCAACCUAGUUUGAUGGUGCCACGUGUUACAGUUGGCCAAGAUGGCCACACCCAAUGGGG